Long non-coding RNA from Carassius auratus (goldfish), 1028 nucleotides. RefSeq lists it as uncharacterized. NCBI's taxonomy places the organism in Eukaryota, Metazoa, Chordata, Actinopteri, Cypriniformes, Cyprinidae. The record is from RefSeq and is a predicted model, not a curated record. The transcript is spliced from 4 exons.
CAACAUCAUGAAAACCCCGCACUCUGCUUCGGUGGGUCAGCUAGAAACAAAAAAAUGACACCCGCCAACAACUUCAGUGUGAAGCAAUCGGCCUUCUCAGCUCCGUGACGAACUUUUUGGCAUCAAGACGGAUCUCAAUGAUGUUGUUCAGUAGAGCAAAAAGAGGAGCCAGCGGAAAGGAGGCCACAAACAAGGUUAUUCUGGAUGAGCUGUUUGCCAAGCAUGGUGAUGCAGAGCUGAAUGCACAAUUCCAUCAGACAGCCAGCAUGGGCGCACUGCAGGGUGAAACAGAGAGAGAUUUCAAUCAGUUACAAUGGAGUUGACUGGCUACACACCUCUGAGAGUGUUAGUCAUCAGGACUGAGGCCUGUUUGCGCAAAAUCCCCACUAACCCCUGAACAUCUGAUGUUCUACGUGAAGCCAAACUUGAGGGAGAAAAUGGCACCAAUCGAAGUUCCUGUUGAAAUGAGGAGCAGAAAUUGGAGACCUUGCUCAGUCACUGAAGCCCUGUGGCUGGCAAAAGCUGCCUCUAGAUUAGUUUUCCUCACUCUGCUGGAUCUGUCUGCAAGUGAAAAAUCACCAGAUCCUUCUCUGAAGUGAGCAGCAUCUAAAUCACAUCAACUGUCCAUGGGGGUUCCCCAAGGCUCCGUAAUUUUCCCCUUACUCUUUUCAGAAUACACAACAAUCAUUGGGACCGAUUAACCAGAUACAUGGAUUUGAAAAUAAAGCAUGGUGGCAUUAAGACCACCCAUGCUUUACCAAAAACACAAAUUCUCAAUUUCUAUUAUAUUAGCAACACAUGGACAUCAAAAUCUCUGAUGUUCUUUACGUGAGAACCAUCUGUAGAGAGUUACAAUGUCUAUACAUUGUUCCAAAUCAGUCAUUUCUUUUUCGGUUAGGAUAUAGCCAAGUAAAUAGUUGACAACAGGGCAGCUCACUAGGUUUGGAAAAAAAGGGAAAUCCUAUUGCAGAUUUGUUAAUAACCGAGUAUUUGUGUUCAAUUUCAGAGUGAAUGCUUGGUAAUAAUAA